This is a long non-coding RNA of Homo sapiens (human), 589 nucleotides long. Ensembl annotates it as KRT19 interacting long noncoding RNA in hepatocellular carcinoma. Its record names the gene KILH. NCBI's taxonomy places the organism in Eukaryota, Metazoa, Chordata, Mammalia, Primates, Hominidae. The record is from Ensembl.
CUCUUCCUCCUGCUACUGCCAUGUGAGAUACCUGCCCCUACUUUGCCUUCUUCCAUGAUUGGAAGCUUCCUGAGGCCACCCCAGAGUCAGAAGCCGCUAUGCUUCCUGGACAGCUUGCAGAACCAGUAUUCACUGACUGCUGAAACUAGAGCAUCACUGAGAAGCAAGAGAUAGACUGACCUAACUAGAGGGAGAGCUGCCAUCCAGGAUGAUGCCACCAUCACAGGAGGUGAGAAGGAACACAGCAUCUUCUGCAAAUGCUACAGUAAAUAGGGACGGGGUGCAGCAAUGUGAGGAAAGUGGAAUGAACUUGGACUUUGAAGGCAAACUAACCUGGAAUCAAAUACUGGCUCUGCUGUUUGCAAGUGUGAUCUUUGGGUAUGCUUCCUAAUCUGUGAGCUUCAACUUCCUCCUCUGUAAACCAAGAUCAAAGACAAACAGGGAAACCUACUUGUCUGGUGCCCAUCCCCUUGGCAGAACACUCCUCUGAAGGAUGACAGUUUGGCUGUGCCAGGGCAGAGCUGCCGACACCAAAUGAGCCUUCAUAGCAACUAUCUGAUGAGGAACUCACUGGCCUACCUUUCCUUGA